RNAcentral lists this ribosomal RNA (433 nucleotides) under uncultured bacterium. Its description in RNAcentral is "partial 16S ribosomal RNA". It matches the Rfam family "Bacterial small subunit ribosomal RNA", at positions 29 to 507 of the family's 1533-position model. The record is from RNAcentral.
AACGAACGCUGGCGGCAUGCCUAACACAUGCAAGUCGAACGAGACCUUCGGGUCUCGUGGCGCACGGGUGCGUAACGCGUGGGAACCUGCCCUUAGGUUCGGAAUAACUCCCCGCAAGGGGUGCUAAUAUCGGAUAAUGUCUUCGGACCAAAGAUGUAUCGCCUUUGGUUGGGCCCGCGUGGGAUUAGCUAGUUGGUAGGGUAAAAGCCUACCAAGGCGACGAUCCAUAGCUGGUCUGAGAGGAUGAGCAGCCACACUGGGACUGAGACACGGCCCAGACUCCUACGGGAGGCAGCAGUGGGGAAUAGUGGACAGUGGGCGAAAGCCUGAGCCAGCAAGGCCGCGUGAGUGAUGAAGGCCUUAGGGUUGUAAAGCUCUUUUACCCGGGAUGAUAAUGACAGUACCGGGAGAAUAAGCACCGGCUAACUCCGUG